AAAGAGGAGAAGGGGCCGUCAGAAUCUACUGGACCAAAUCCCCCCCUCCGCCCAGCCGGGGAAAACCCAGGCGUGAGUCAGACGGCAGCACGCUCCCCGGCCGGCCGCAGCGCAGACCUCAGACAAGCCCCAGAGCGGAGGCAGCACAGUGGGAUCGCAACAGGAGCUUCAUUCACGGUCUGCUCGGGGUCAGCCUUGCCAGCUUUGUGUGAGGAAAUGAAACUCGAGUUGCUUUCUGGAAUACCAUCGUGAGCACGGUGCACCACGCCCUCGCCCAAAGACCACAGCAUCCUUUGCAGCCCAGCGACUUUCACCCUCCACAUUACUGCACGCUUAACUAGCAGGAGGUCUCUGAGUCGCCCAAGGUCAUCCGAAAGCCAGAAUAAGAGACAAUGGAGAGAAGACAUACAAAACCAAAAGCACCAAGAGCCUCCAUCAAAUGAGGGGCUGGGAAGAAGCUGCAGAAACGACAAGUGAAUCCAAGGACACAGGGUAGCUCCUGGGGACAAUUCUCUUGCAUUUGUCAAGCACAGCUUGGAAGCUGCUGUGCAGGGAGGAAAACCAUCCCCACCUCUGGGCCUGGGACCAAGAGUGACCGAAUCUUGUAGUCAGAGGGGACCUCCAAAUUCUUUCUUUAAAAGGAGGGAGGGAAGUGUUUAACAUUUUCUUCCAGCAACUUGGAAACACCACCAUUUUGAGUUGCUUACUUAAGAAUGCGGCGACUGCUUCCUCAAGGAGGUAGCUUUUUUCUUUAAUGUAAUCACUACCAACAACAACAAAAAAGGAAUAUUUCUCAAAUAAGUUUCUUUAUAUUCAAAUCACCUUUGGACACAGACCAAACAUGGACAGCAUCAGCCUACUUGAAGAAAAUUUCCAGGCUUUCACAAGAGCCUGGGGAAAACGGGAUUAUAAUGAGAGCCAUUCUGGAACCUUAACUACAGCAUUCGCCAUCCCAAACACUAUAAUAAUCAUUAUUAUUCUCUGGUAUCUAUUAUUGUCUGGUAAAUAAUAUGUGUUUUCCCCCAAAGUUCUAAAGGGUGCAGCUGCACCACACUCUAUUUUUCGCAGCCCCGUUCCUGCUCUUCUGAAAGCCUGCUCACACGAAGCUUAUUUUAAGAGAAUGAUAAACUAGACAAUUUGUGCUGUUUCCGUUCCUCUCACCACAUACUUGCCGUGUCUGGGACACCCCUAAAGGCCAGAUGGUGGCAGUACAAGUCCCUUUCUGCUGCUACCAUUUGAGGAGGGGGCGGUAGUGAAGUCCCCCUCAUUUGUUCUCCUGGCUCUGACGGGUUCAGGGCGGCCCCCUUGUUGGAGACACAGGAAUGGACUCUGGAAUCAAUGAAAAUGAAGAACCAAGCUUGGGCUUCACUGUCCUGAUAUUUAUUGGUAUGCAAGGUGUGAAACUCAACAGAGUGGAAAA
Non-coding RNA from Microcebus murinus (gray mouse lemur), 1420 nucleotides. Lineage: Eukaryota; Metazoa; Chordata; Mammalia; Primates; Cheirogaleidae. The record is from RefSeq and is a predicted model, not a curated record.